Molecule: ribosomal RNA, 460 nt
Filed under: uncultured bacterium
Lineage: Bacteria
Description: partial 16S ribosomal RNA
Rfam family: Bacterial small subunit ribosomal RNA
Source: RNAcentral
CCUACGGGUGGCAGCAGUGAGGAAUAUUGGUCAAUGGACGAGAGUCUGAACCAGCCAAGUAGCGUGAAGGAUGACUGCCCUAUGGGUUGUAAACUUCUUUUAUAGGGGAAUAAAACAGGGUAGGCAUACCCUCUUGUAUGUACCAUAUGAGUAAGGAUCGGCUAACUCCGUGCCAGCAGCCGCGGUAAUACGGAGGUUCCGAGCGUUAUCCGGCUUUAUUGGGUUUAAAGGGAGCGUAGGUGGAUUGUUAAGUCAGUUGUGAAAGUUUGCGGCUCAACCGUAAACUUGCAGUUGAAACUGGCAGUCUUUAGUACAUUAGCGUUGGGCUGAAUUCGUGGUGUAGCGGUGACAUGCUUCGAUAUCACGAAGAACUCCGAUUGCGAAGGCAGCUCACUGGACUGCACCUGACACUGAUGCUCGAUAGUGUGGGUAUCAACCAGGAUUAGAUACCCGGGUAGUC